AACGAACGCUGGCGGCAUGCCUAACACAUGCAAGUCGAACGAGACCUUCGGGUCUAGUGGCGCACGGGUGCGUAACGCGUGGGAACCUGCCCUUAGGUUCGGAAUAACUCCCCGAAAGGGGUGCUAAUACCGGAUAAUGUCUUCGGACCAAAGAUUUAUCGCCUUUGGAUGGGCCCGCGUUGGAUUAGCUAGUUGGUAGGGUAAAAGCCUACCAAGGCGACGAUCCAUAGCUGGUCUGAGAGGAUGAUCAGCCACACUGGGACUAAGACGCGGCCCAGACUCCUACGGGAGGCAGCAGUGGGGAAUAUUGGACAAUGGGCGGAAGCAUGAUCCAGCAAUGCCGCGUGAGUGAUGAAGGCCGUAGGGUUGUAAAGCGCUUUUACCCGGGAUGAUAAUGACAGUACCGGGAGAAUAAGCUCCGGCUAACUCCGUG
Molecule: ribosomal RNA, 433 nt
Filed under: uncultured bacterium
Lineage: Bacteria
Description: partial 16S ribosomal RNA
Rfam family: Bacterial small subunit ribosomal RNA
Source: RNAcentral